RNAcentral lists this ribosomal RNA (611 nucleotides) under Takifugu fasciatus (obscure pufferfish). RNAcentral's name for it is "partial 16S ribosomal RNA". It matches the Rfam family "Bacterial large subunit ribosomal RNA", at positions 1797 to 2619 of the family's 2925-position model. RNAcentral also lists the same sequence under 1 other name. The record is from RNAcentral. Lineage: Eukaryota; Metazoa; Chordata; Actinopteri; Tetraodontiformes; Tetraodontidae.
CGCCUGUUUACCAAAAACAUCGCCUCUUGUAAACCACAAAUAAGAGGUCCCGCCUGCCCUGUGACUAUGGGUUCAACGGCCGCGGUAUUUUGACCGUGCAAAGGUAGCGCAAUCACUUGUCCUUUAAAUGAGGACCUGUAUGAAAGGCAUCACGAGGGCUUAGCUGUCUCCUUUUUCAAGUCAAUGAAAUUGAUCUCCCCGUGCAGAAGCGGGGAUUAGAACAUAAGACGAGAAGACCCUAUGGAGCUUUAGAUACAAGACAGAUCAUGUUAAGCACCUCAUAUAAAAGAGCAAACUAAAUGGAACCUGUCUUAAUGUCUUUGGUUGGGGCGACCGCGGGGCAACAAAAAGCCCCCAUGAGGAAUAAAAGUACUCUUUCAAAAACAAGAGCCACAGCUCUAAUGAGCAGAACAUCUGACCUACCAGAUCCGGCAUAGCCGAUCAACGAACCGAGUUACCCUAGGGAUAACAGCGCAAUCCCCUUUUAGAGCCCCUAUCGACAAGGGGGUUUACGACCUCGAUGUUGGAUCAGGACAUCCUAAUGGUGCAACCGCUAUUAAGGGUUCGUUUGUUCAACGAUUAAAGUCCUACGUGAUCUGAGUUCAGACCGG